GACGAACGCUGCGGGGGGCCUAAACCCAUGAAGUUGGACCGGAAAGGCCCGGCUUUUGGGGGGGGCUCGAGUGCGGACGGGGUAGGUACACGGGGGGUACCCGCCCUUGGACUUUGGGUUACCUUCAGGAACCUGGGGCUAUACCGGGUAAGGGGUUCCGCCUGAUUGGUGGGGGUUGGAAGGUUUCGGCGGUUGGGGAUGGACUCGCGGCUUAUCAGCUUGUUGGUGGGGUAGUGGCUUACCAAGGCUUUGACGGGUAGCCGGCCUGAGAGGGUGACCGGCCACAUUGGGACUGAGAUACGGCCCAGACUCCUACGGGAGGCAGCAGUGGGGAAUAUUGCACAAUGGGCGGAAGCCUGAUGCAGCAACGCCGCGUGCGGGAUGACGGCCUUCGGGUUGUAAACCGCUUUCGCCUGUGACGAAGCGUGAGUGACGGUAAUGGGUAAAGAAGCACCGGCUAACUACGUG
Molecule: ribosomal RNA, 468 nt
Filed under: uncultured bacterium
Lineage: Bacteria
Description: partial 16S ribosomal RNA
Rfam family: Bacterial small subunit ribosomal RNA
Source: RNAcentral